RNAcentral lists this ribosomal RNA (229 nucleotides) under uncultured bacterium. RNAcentral describes it as "partial 16S ribosomal RNA". It matches the Rfam family "Bacterial small subunit ribosomal RNA", at positions 568 to 796 of the family's 1533-position model. The record is from RNAcentral.
CACGUAGGCGGUUUACUAAGUUUGACGUGAAAGCCCUCGGCUCAACCGGGGAAUUGCGUCGGAUACUGGUGGACUUGAGGUCGGUUGGGGUGAGUGGAACUCCUGGUGGAGCGGUGAAAUGCGUAGAUAUCAGGAGGAACACCAGUGGCGAAAGCGGCUCAUUGGACCGAUCCUGACGCUGAGGUGCGAAAGCUAGGGUAGCGAACAGGAUUAGAUACCCUGGUAGUCC